ACCCGCACAAGCGGUGGAUCAUGCGGUUUAAUUCGAUAAUACGCGGCGAACCUUACCAAGGCUUGACAUAUAGCUGCAUUCCGAUGGAAACAUUGGAAGCCUUCGAGGGUGCUAUACAGGUGCUGCAUGGUUGCCGUCAGCUCGUGCCGUGAGGUGUACCGUUAAGUCGGGUAACGAGCGCAACCCCUGCUGUGUGUUAAAUGUACACACAGGACUGCCCGGGCAACCGGGAGGAAGGUGGGGACGACGUCAAAUCAGCAUGGCUCUUACGCCUUGGGCUACACGCAUGAUACAAUGGCCGGUACAAAGGGUUGCCAAACCGCGAGGUGGAGCAAAUCCCACAAAGCCGGUCUCAGUUCGGAUUGUAGGCUGCAACUCGCCUACAUGAAGUUGGAAUCGCUAGUAAUCGCGCAUCAGCCACGGCGCGAUGAAUACGUUCUCGGGUCUUGUACUCACCGCCCGUCAUACCACGAAAGUUGGCAGCACCCGAAAGCUCCGCAAGGGGAUUAAGGUGAGGUCAGUAAUCAGGGUAAAGUCGUAACAAGGCAUCCGUAGCGGAAGCUGUGGAUGGAUCACCUCCUUUCUGGAGUACAGUCCGG
This 599-nucleotide ribosomal RNA is filed under the name Candidatus Magasanikbacteria bacterium CG10_big_fil_rev_8_21_14_0_10_47_10. RNAcentral's name for it is "bacterial SSU rRNA". It matches the Rfam family "Bacterial small subunit ribosomal RNA", at positions 919 to 1533 of the family's 1533-position model. Lineage: Bacteria; Candidatus Magasanikiibacteriota. The record is from RNAcentral.